GCAAGUCGAACGGUGAAGCAGAGCUUGCUCUGUGGAUCAGUGGCGAACGGGUGAGUAACACGUGAGCAAUCUGCCCCUGACUCUGGGAUAAGCGCUGGAAACGGCGUCUAAUACCGGAUACGAGCUGCGAUCGCAUGGUCAGUAGCUGGAAAGAAUUUCGGUCAGGGAUGAGCUCGCGGCCUAUCAGCUUGUUGGUGAGGUAAUGGCUCACCAAGGCGUCGACGGGUAGCCGGCCUGAGAGGGUGACCGGCCACACUGGGACUGAGACACGGCCCAGACUCCUACGGGAGGCAGCAGUGGGGAAUAUUGCACAAUGGGCGGAAGCCUGAUGCAGCAACGCCGCGUGAGGGAUGACGGCCUUCGGGUUGUAAACCUCUUUUAGCAGGGAAGAAGCGAAAGUGACGGUACCUGCAGAAAAAGCGCCGGCUAACUACGUGCCAGCAGCCGCGGUAAUACGUAGGGCGCAAGCGUUAUCCGGAAUUAUUGGGCGUAAAGAGCUCGUAGGCGGUCUGUCGCGUCUGCUGUGAAAACCCGAGGCUCAACCUCGGGCCUGCAGUGGGUACGGGCAGACUAGAGUGCGGUAGGGGAGAUUGGAAUUCCUGGUGUAGCGGUGGAAUGCGCAGAUAUCAGGAGGAACACCGAUGGCGAAGGCAGAUCUCUGGGCCGUAACUGACGCUGAGGAGCGAAAGGGUGGGGAGCAAACAGGCUUAGAUACCCUGGUAGUCCACCCCGUAAACGUUGGGGACUAGUUGUGGGGUCCAUUCCACGGAUUCCGUGACGCAGCUAACGCAUUAAGUUCCCCGCCUGGGGAGUACGGCCGCAAGGCUAAAACUCAAAGGAAUUGACGGGGACCCGCACAAGCGGCGGAGCAUGCGGAUUAAUUCGAUGCAACGCGAAGAACCUUACCAAGGCUUGACAUAUA
This 922-nucleotide ribosomal RNA is filed under the name Microbacterium imperiale. Its description in RNAcentral is "bacterial SSU rRNA". It matches the Rfam family "Bacterial small subunit ribosomal RNA", at positions 57 to 990 of the family's 1533-position model. The record is from RNAcentral. Lineage: Bacteria; Bacillati; Actinomycetota; Actinomycetes; Micrococcales; Microbacteriaceae.